CCUGCCUGCUCACAGCACCUGUGCUUGGGGGGUUGGGGGGGCGGACAAGGCCGCUGCUCCCCACUCUGCUGAGUGAGGGGCGGCACAGCUCUGCCUCCCCACGGCCUGGCUUCAGGGUUUGGAAGACAAGGGCAAGCCAGGUGAACGCUCCUGCCAGGAGGAAGCUGAGCGCUGCAGGUAUCGGGCUUGGUGCUCCGCCACCUCACUUAACCCUGACGCGCAGGGCGCGGGACCAGCAGGACCCCUCGUCACACCUGACAGCCAGAGGCCAACAGCAGCAAGCGGUACCAGACAAGCAUUUUGACCCCAGCUCUGGGGUCUCCAAAGCCUUGGUUCUUAAUGGCUCUAAUCGUGAGUGGUUCCUGCUGGCUCCAACCGCGGUUCCCUGGGAAUCCCACUUGACUAACCCAGGUUGGCUCAGGCUUCAUGGAUCUGACUCCUGCCUGCCUGACUCCUCACUCACUUCGUGUACUCAGCUGCCUCCUCUCUCCCCUGGCCCCCGUUAUCUCUGGCACAUCCAUCUGCUCUCUACUUAUUCCCAUCACAAGAACCAUCCCAAUCUCUAAUUGCCUGCCGGCUUUCUCUACUAAAAUUUAAGUCCCAAAAAGACAUGGGCCAUAUGCCUAUUCUGUUUAUCAAUCCCACCCAUCACAUGUCUGGCA
Molecule: long non-coding RNA, 662 nt
Filed under: Canis lupus dingo (dingo)
Lineage: Eukaryota; Metazoa; Chordata; Mammalia; Carnivora; Canidae
Description: lncRNA (ENSCAFG00020018830.1)
Source: RNAcentral